UAAUAUAUCGGAACGUAUCCAAUAAUGGGGGAUAACUAGUCGAAAGAUUAGCUAAUACCGCAUACGCCCUGAGGGGAAAGCUGGGGAUCUUCGGACCUAGCGUUAAUGGAGCGGCCGAUAUCUGAUUAGCUAGUAGGUGAGGUAAGAGCUCACCUAGGCGACGAUCAGUAGCUGGUCUGAGAGGACGACCAGCCACACUGGAACUGAGACACGGUCCAG
RNAcentral lists this ribosomal RNA (219 nucleotides) under uncultured bacterium. Its description in RNAcentral is "partial 16S ribosomal RNA". It matches the Rfam family "Bacterial small subunit ribosomal RNA", at positions 111 to 334 of the family's 1533-position model. The record is from RNAcentral.